CCGCGCCCCCUGGGGGCCGUUGAGGGGAGUCUCAGCCCGGCCGCCAUUUUAUUUCCUUUCUCGCCUCGCUUCGAAAUACACCUUAAAACAUCUGAAAUGAGCUGUGCGAGUGCAAAUCUGAGAGGGAGGCGGCUGUUCCUGAGCACUGCCAGCCUCAUCUGGGUCUCCAGCCUGUCACAGAACGGGUCAGCUUGGAAGAGACCACAGUGGUGGUCCCUUCUCAAGCAGGGUCAUCCCAGAGAGUGUGGCACAAGAUUGCAAUAAGAUGGUUGUGUAAUGCUCCAGUGAGGGACACUCUGCAGCCUUUCUGGGCAAGGUAUUCCAUGUGUGAUCAUCAGCACAAUAAAGAAGUUCUUCCUCAUACUCAGGAACUCAUUCUACUCUCAGAGGAAGGGGGACACAUGGAGACUGUGUGGUCCUGUGUGCCUGAACAAUGAUCCAGGUCCAUUUCUGUACCUUGCACUGCAGGAGAAGACACUUUCCUUGUUCUCAUUGUGUGAUUCUAGGCACUCAUAUGCUGACCCAGGAGGUGCAAGCACUGACUCCAGGGACCAGUUUUCUUUUUCUGGAAGAACAUAGCAGACUGACUGUAUUUUCUGAAGAUCAGACUUUUCUGCUUUCCUGCCAAUGCCUAGAGCUGAAAGUGGAACUGAUGUUUUGAAACCUCCUUAAGACCAAUUUCCCUCACUUCUUUAGUUUUAUAAAUAGAGGCUUUUGGCUUUAAGAAUUUGAUGACUCCUUUCCAGUGAAAACUCCUGAAUAUGAAAGGCCCCAUAGAAUUCAACAUGUUUUGGCAAGAAUUACUCAUUUUGUAGGAAAAGACUCGCUUUCAUCUUCUAGAUAGUUCUGCCAUUUAAGGGCUGUGCUCCUCCGAUGGCGCUCUGGCAUUUCUACAGCUAUAUAUGGAGUCUCUUUGGUGCUUGCUUGUGUUAUCCUCAGAGCUGAGUAAAGGCCAGGCCAGGAAGCCUUUGAUUGUAAAUCUCCCCAGGCCACCUUGGUGCCCUUCCUGAAUGAAGCAAAGGGGGAGCAAAGCAAGGUUUCUGUCGUGCAGGCUGCGGGAGCUGACUGCCACAGGUAUGGCAGAAGCCCAAUUGUUCCCCAUUUACAAGGUGAGGAUAUUAAUCAUUAAACUUCACAAGUCAUAAGUAUGCAUAUCUGAUGGCUAAAUGGCCCAAAAAAUAUAUUUUUUUUGCCCUGGCUGAAGAGAGUCCCUUUCCUGUGACUCACUGUCUCCGGGGCAGGUCACAAUGAAACUUGACAGUCUUUAUAGACUUUCUGUAGGUAUCUCACAAACAUUGCACAUUUUUGUUUAUUUUUCAGUCUGUUUUCUUAGCCAUUUGAGACUGACUUCCUCAACAGCUAUCUUUACCUUGAGGUACAGAGCUUGCCAAAAACAAAGGGAAGUAAAAUUAGGAAAGGAAAUUUACAGUGUAAUUAGGUUUUUCUUUCUGCCAGAAUCAAACUGAAAGUUUUCAUCUGUUUCUAUUAUUUAUUCAUUUUCAUUUCUUAAACAGACGUGUUUUAAUGGAUGGUUUUGUGUCAGAUAGAUUGGUCUUAAUGGUACAAUCUUUAGUAAGGUGGGGUUUUUAUAGUAAUUUACAUUUUUUGAAUGUAGUAGCUCUCCCUUGACUACCCUGCACAGAAGCCACUCUACUGCAGUGCUCAGAACAUGUUGGUUCUCCUACAGUCUUCUAUUACAGAAUUUGUCUUUAUCUUUAAAGAUAUGAUGGAUUUAACUUUUAGUUCUGUAAUUUCUCAGUCGUGUCCCUGCUUUUGGUAACAGGGCUUGCAGCCACUUUGCUGGAUGCUGACCUUGAUCAGGAGAGAGGGGCUUGCUGGAAAAGCUUCACUUCCACUUUGAUGAAAGUUGGUGAGGCUGAGUCAGUCAGAACAUCUUCCUGUUCUACCUUGCCAGUGAUUUAUGGAGAGACAUGAAGUUUUGUGCUUUGAAAGUCAUGUAGUAUGUGCACACAAAAUGAAGCCUGGGGUUUCUGGGGAAAAGCACAAUGUUGUAAACCGGACACUUGUGAAACGGUGACAAAUGUAUUUGCUUAUCUGCAGCCUUAGGUUGGACAGGUUUACUUCCUACAAAAGAUCAUCUGAGGAUGGGGACAUUGAAGUCACCGAAUCUGAAAAGAUGUGGUGACUCAGACAGUUUCAAGAAGCUUGUGGGAGCAGUGCAGUUCAGUAAAAUUAACUUCCUGCCAGUGCAGUUACUGCCACUGUUUGUCAUUACCAAGUGUGAAACCUGAGGAGAUGGUGUCAAAAGUUCAGGUUCUGAUGGGUUGAACAGGGAAUAACCAGGGCUGUGGGAAAGGAAAGAAGUGAGAGAAAGGAGAAGCAGCCCCCCAGAAUUAAACCAAAUAUACUAAUUUGAUAAGUAAGGGAGGGAGAGUUUCCUCUGGUUCAGCUGGAUCAAAAUACUCAACUGCCUGCUGCUGCCAUAUGGCCUGUGUAGAGACAAAAAAUUGUCUCCAGCAUAGUCUGUUCCUUUCCUCACUCAUUGCUUUGCCUUUGCAACUCAGAAAACUGCUGCCUUCCUCUCCUGCCCUCACUGUUCCUUCAUAUUCCUCUGAAAUAUUUCCCAUGACCUUUCUCCUACCAUUUUUCAGGUAUCUUGCUUCACACACACACACACACACACACACACAGUUCUUUUCCCUAACCUCCCUAUACUGCUCUUAGCCCCUCAUUGCUGAGGUGGAACGAGGUGCUGGUACCCAGAAGUGCCACCAAAAAUGGGGAAUGUGGGCCUGGAUAAUGUACAUCCAGUGAGUGGGAAGCAUUCUUGCUUCCAGAGAGCUCCCUCCUUAGAUCUGUUUGGCAAAGAAAGCUGCUUGUAUUGCACACAGGGGACCUGACUGAUGGGAUGUCUGUAAUAGUGCUGGAAAGAAAAAUCCUCUGAGUCCUUUGCCAUCCUUGCACUGCAGAAGCUUGGUCUAUAACUCUUGAAUGAUUUUGUCUGUCUCUGCCACAGGACAUACAACUCCAUCAAACUUACAUAAACGUACUUUGUAGAAAUUUAUAUGAUUAACUGAUUGACAAAGUGUCACGUCCCUGUCUGUUCUGAGAAAAUAUGGGGGCUUUGAGAUUAUUUCCUUUCUGAACUUUCUCUUACCUGAAAGCAGAAAUCCUGUUAAAAUGUAUUAAGACACAGUUGGACCCAUCUUCCUGUUCUACCUCACCAGUGAUUUAUGGAGAGAUGUGGAGUUUUGUGCUUUGAAUAAUCGAGUGACAAACUAAACAAGGAAACUGCUGUCUACUGAAGCAAUGGGCACUGCUGCUGACCUUCAGCUUUGAUGAGAGUAACAAUCAACUGGUGCCUAACUGAGACCAGCAUCCUCGGGUGCCUGGGGCAGGGAUUUUGAGUCCCAAAGAGCUUCCUGUGUGGGGGAGCCUUCCAAGUACUGUAUCAUUAUGGAAUUCUUCUGAAAAGACACGCCUCAUCUGAGAAAACCAAGAUAUUCCAUCAGAACUGUGCAGUGUGAGAUCCCUCCAGAAUCCACAGUGGAAAAAAAAUUAUCCUGGUGUUAUUGGAGACAUCAGCAUGCCUUUUCUGCUGUGCUUGAAAAAAAAGAAGUCACCUGUGCCUUUAGGCAGGAGUAUCUUUCAAAAACACACCCCUCCCAUCCAGCAGAACUACCAGGCUUUGCUGGAGUCGUGCUUGAAGAACAAAUGCUUGUUCACAGAUGACACCUUCCCUGCUCACAUCAGCUCCAUUGGAACAGGAGCACUGCUAAAGAAACUGCCCCACAAUUUACAGUGGAAGAGGCCACACGCUUUGCACAAGAGUCCUGUAUUUUAUGCUGCACACAGAAAGCAGCCUGAUCUCUGCCAAGGAUUGGUGGAGAACUGCUGGUUCCUGGCGGCCCUGGAAGCCCUGACAUUCCACCAGGACAUCUUGGCUGCAGUUGUGCCACAAAACCAGAGCUUUGAGAGGAAAUACGCGGGCAUUUUCCACUUCCGGUUCUGGCACUUUGGGGAAUGGAUUGACGUGGUGGUUGAUGAUCUCCUGCCGGUGAAUGAGGCCGGCGAGCUGCUCUUUGUGUCCUCAGUCUAUAAGAACGUGUUUUGGGGAGCCCUUCUGGAAAAGGCAUAUGCUAAACUCUAUGGCUCCUAUGAAGAUCUGCAGAUUGGGCAAGUUUCAGAAGCCUUGGUGGAUUUUACAGGGGGUGUCAAUACAAGGAUCAAGCUUGCAGAAGCUCCUCCAGAUCUGUGGAAUAUACUGACAAGAGCCACCUACAGCAGAUCUCUCAUGGGCUGUCAGACACACUUAGGGACAACAAAGGUCCUGAAGAAUGGGCUUGUUGCUGGCCAUGCCUAUACAGUAACUGGUAUUAGAAAGGUGACCUGUCAAUAUGGACCUGAAAACCUAGUGAGACUGAGAAAUCCAUGGGGAAAAAUCGAGUGGAAAGGAGACUGGAGUGACAGCUCUUACAAGUGGGAGCUGCUGAGCCCGAAGGAGAAGAUUUUACUGAGGAAAAAGAAGGAUGAUGGAGAAUUCUGGAUGUCUCUGCGAGAUUUUAAGAUUCAUUUUGUAGAUCUGGUGAUCUGUAAGUUAACUCCAGACCUGAUGAGCCAGGAAGAUGGGAAAAAGUGGAUGUACUCCUUGAAGAGUGGGAGAUGGGUUAAAGGAAGUACAGCAGGAGGAAGUCUGGGAUUCUGUAAUGGCAACUUUUGGAUGAACCCUCAGUACUGGCUGAAUGUGUUGCCAGUUGAAGACAGUAAGAAAAGCCCAAGUACGUGCAAUGUGGUUAUAUCCCUCAUGCAGAAACACAGCACCAAACACCGGAACCGAGCCCCUCACCUUUUCAUUGGAUUUUUACUCUAUAAGGUGGGCCUACAGUACCAGGAGAGCAACAGAAAGCUGCCCCCAGGUUUCUUCACCCGACAUCAGCCUGUGAACAAGCACCAGGUUUUCCUUGAUGAGCGGGAAGUGACUCACGACUUCCAUCUGGAACCUUGUGUCUAUGUGAUUGUCCCAUCCACCCUGGAGCCUCAGCAGGAGUCUGAGUUCAUCCUGAGGGUCUUCUCCAGGAAGCACAUUCUUCGGGAAAUGGGCGGGAACACGAGCUUCACCCUCUCUAAGGAAAUUGUUGAUAGGUAUGAAGGCAAGAUUUGGGAGGAUUUCUUCACAAAGCAUUUUGAGCAGAAUCCUGAAAUAAAUGCUGUUCAGCUCCAGAGGAUCUUGAAUAAUAUAUCUUGGAGAAAUUUCCAGAGUUUUCGCCUGAAUUUCAGUCUGGAUUCCUGCCAGGGUAUCUUGGCACUCCUGGAUCUGAAUGCCACUGGCACACUGAGUAUCCAGGAAUUCAGAGUCCUGUGGAAGAGGCUGCUUUUCUAUUUGGAAGUUUUCCAGAAGAGAGACACCAAGAGAUCAGGAAAGCUUGACCUUGUGGAACUGCAUGCAGCUGUACAGGAGACAGGCAUUUCACUCAGCAAUGAAGUCUGUAAUUUGAUGGCAAUCAGAUAUGGUGACCCUGACUUACAGAUCAGUUUUGAGAGCUUUGUUUGCUUCAUGCUUCGAGUGGAGAUCAUGGGAGUGCCUUCCUACAGACAUCCAAGCUGUCAUAUCAGAGAGUGAUUAAGCUCUGCACAUUUGCACUGGCCUUCUGUAAUAAGAGAGGCCUUUCGCAACCUAACACAAGAUGGCAAAGGGAUAUACCUGCGGGAGUCUGAGUGGAUGAUGAUGACACUUUAUUCCUGAAGCAAGGCUGUCGAGGAGGAGACAACCAGACCGGUACCAGGAUGAGGAAGGCUGCCUUCUUUCAACUUUUUACUUCAUAUGAAAAGUCUUCCUCAAGCAGACUUAACAUGAUAACCACAGACUUGGUUAACUGAAGUUUUAUUAAUUAAUGUAUUUAUUUUGAGUCCUAUUUCACUUCAGACAACCCUGCUAAGGAGAGACCAUUGGAUGCCAAUUACCACAAGUGACAACCUGGAGCAUGGUGGCUGAGUUUUUGGGGUCACCUACUUCAUGCUGAUGUAAUGCUGCUGUUAUAGGCACACAUUGUGGCAGUGCCCAGAGGCUGUGCUUGGUGGUGGGGCUCUUGAAUCUGGCAGGGAAAAGGCCUCUGUCCUGAGUAGCUUGUCACCUGAUAGAGGGAUCACAGUUCUGUAGCUGCUAGGCCCAUGAUAGAGAGCUGGAAUCUGUGAAUUUCUGAGAAAGGAAGAGACUCACAGAAUGAAUGAACACUCUUCCCUAGCCCUGACUUGGAAAAGUGAUUUGCAAGCAUUUAAACCAUCUCUUUUGCUUUUGUAAGUUAACAUUGCCAUAUUGAAAUGGUCUUGAUUUGAUUUGACCAAGUGAUGAGCUGAGUCUCCAGCUGUUUGUUGUGUGAUGAUUGUGUAUUUAUUUCAGAAAGGCAGUGAGUUUUCUCUGCAGAUUGAAAAGUACAGUACACUGAAAAGUAAACUGAUCCCAUAUUAACAGACUAGCAAGGAAUUAAUGUUUUCAGUAGGGUGAUACAGGAGCUGUCUGAUAAAAUAUUUGGAUAUUUAUUUUCUAUAGGAUAUGUGUGUGUGUGUACUUCUAAAGGAUGCAGGUAAAUGUGGGUUGUAGCUAAUUGAAUAGUACAACCCAGGUGCAUGGCUGUGAGCAGCAUUAAAGAGCGUGGUAUAAGUGGGACUAUUCACAUCAAAAUCCAUGAGAGAGUUACUUGAUGCAUCAGUCUCUAGGAUCCUUUUCCACUUUUUUACCAUUCAUUUAUUUGGGCUGGAAAUUUCCAGGCUAAGUGACUGUUACAGGUUGAUGCUUUGAUUUUUUUUUCUUUUUUUUCCCUUUUUUUGCAUUCCUGCAGACAGCUCAAUUGAGGCUCUUUUACAGUGCACAGCCUAGUCUGAGUCUGGGUGCUAAAUGAAACAGAGCUCCAAUGGGAAUGAACAUAUAAUGAAACAUUGCACUCUAAUACCUUUGUAGGAAGGAGUUAUAUUAAGCUUGCUUAGGCAGCCUUCCCUCUGGCUUUUGGUGACUUUUAGGUGCUUAAUCUCAUAAAUAUUUUUUCAGAGUGUAUAUGAUAUUCAGGAAUGAGGUGGACUGUGGAUAAGAAAGUGAACAUGGGCAUGACUGAGCUCAGGCAUGUGCUUGCCACCGCACUGAGGCCUGAGCAAUAGUAUAAGCAUAUUUAUAGAGGAACUCCUUUGCAUAUAAGUGUUCCCAGUCAGGAGGCAUUAAGCAGUAAAAACAACAGCAUGCACUUUAUUCCCCAGAACAAUCUGUUUCUAAGCAAUAUCAUUUUCAUCCUGUUUUUUAUGAGAAAACUGUUAGAACCAGAUAAAUAGAUGGCUGUGUUGGUACUUGUUUAUUACAGAUGAUAUAUCUAUCAUCUAUUGGGAGCGACCUGCUGGGGAGUCACAGGGUUCAGACUGUGGAGCAGAGCAGGUUGGAGGGAGCAGGGACACCCAGAGCCCCUGGAGCAGCCGAGGGCUCCGUGUCCCACUGGGCUCCCAGAGAGGCUCCUGAGGAGGCUCCAUCAGCAGCUCCCUUCUCAACGCACGUCUCUGUUUCCUUUUGUGACUCGCAGCUGAACAUGAUGGUGCAAACUAAAUUAGCCUGAUUUAAUUUGCACUCAGCUCAGCAGGGGAUGUUAUAAACACUGAUUUACUGUGUGCAGGAGCAGCGUUGGAAGAACCAAAAGCAUUGGUUGAGGGAGUGUAGGUCCCGCUUUUCUCAGCAUGUUUUGGAAAGGAUUAUCCCUGGCACCCGUGGGAGUGCCCAGGGGGAUCUGUGUGAGUGCAGAGUGUUCACAGCAGGCUCUGUUGGACACAAUGGGAGGGAAAUCUCUCAGUCCCAACUGUGUUUGUUGCACAUUUAGGGCUGGGAGCGUGCUGGACGUAGCUCCACCACAGGCUGUGUGCAAAACUGGUGCAGGACACCCAGUUUCAAAUUGCAGUUCAUUUUAAUGUUGUACACAUUGUUUUUUCUAUCAGAUUUUGUACUUAUUUACUUCACACCUCUUUAAUGCAGAGAGAUGUAAUUGCAGGGAGAUUAUUUUGCUAUUGAUUACUUGAUCCAGGAAAGAAACAGAAUUCAUCCAUGCCAUGAAUCACUAAACAUUUGCAGCAAUAAACUUUAUUGAGCCAUGUGA
RNA transcript from Passer domesticus (house sparrow), 8084 nucleotides. It is a transcript of the gene named calpain 14, with no coding region annotated. NCBI's taxonomy places the organism in Eukaryota, Metazoa, Chordata, Aves, Passeriformes, Passeridae. The record is from RefSeq and is a predicted model, not a curated record. The transcript is spliced from 25 exons.